GACAAACGCUGGCGGUAUGCCUAACACAUGCAAGUCGAACGGACAGAACAGGGAAGCUUUUCGGAGUGGAACUGGAAAGUUAGUGGCGGAUGGGUGAGUAACGCGUGGACAACCUACCUUGUAAAGGGGAAUAACCUCGAGAAAUCGAAGCUAAUACCCCAUAAUAACCUUGCUUCGCAUGAAGUAAGGAGGAAAGGCGGCCUUAGCGCUGUCGAUACAAGAUGGGUCCGCGUCUGAUUAGCUAGUUGGUGAGGUAAAGGCUCACCAAGGCGACGAUCAGUAGCCGGCCUGAGAGGGUGAACGGCCACAUUGGAACUGAGAUACGGCCCAAACUCCUACGGGAGGCAGCAGUGGGGAAUCUUCCGCAAUGGGCGAAAGCCUGACGGAGCAAUGCCGCGUGAGUGAAGAAGGCCUUCGGGUUGUAAAACUCUGUCCUUAUCGAAGAGAGAGUGUUGUAGUAACUGACAAUACUAGGACGGUAGAUGAGGAGGAAGCCCCGGCUAACUAUGUG
This 511-nucleotide ribosomal RNA is filed under the name uncultured bacterium. RNAcentral describes it as "partial 16S ribosomal RNA". It matches the Rfam family "Bacterial small subunit ribosomal RNA", at positions 28 to 507 of the family's 1533-position model. The record is from RNAcentral.